Molecule: non-coding RNA, 226 nt
Organism: Pelobates cultripes (western spadefoot toad)
Lineage: Eukaryota; Metazoa; Chordata; Amphibia; Anura; Pelobatidae
Source: the annotation of a GenBank genome assembly
GACUGACUGAAUGCGCGUGCGGCUCUUGCCGUGCAUGCGCAUUCAGCUGAUGGCGUCCAAAGGAGGAGGAGAGUCCCCAGCGCCGAGGGAGCCUGGCGCUGGAGAAAGGUAAGUGUUUAACCCCUUCCUCCAACUUCAGCCCGGCGGGGGGAGGAGGACCCUGAGGGUGGGGGCACCCUCAGGGCACUAUAGUGCCAGGAAAACGAGUUUGUUUUCCUGGCACUAU